UUGGAGGGCAAGUCUGGUGCCAGCAGCCGCGGUAAUUCCAGCUCCAAUAGCGUAUAUUAAAGUUGUUGCAGUUAAAAAGCUCGUAGUUGAAUUUCGGGAUCAGAUUGUCGGUCGUGCCUCGGUACGCACUGGCAUUAUUGGUUCCUACCUUCUGAAGAACCGCGAUGUCAUUAAUUUGGUGUCGUGGGGAAUCAGGACUGUUACUUUGAAAAAAUUAGAGUGUUUAAAGCAGGCGCACGCUUGAAUACAUUAGCAUGGAAUAAUGAAAUAGGACGUUUGAUUCUAUUUUGUUGGUUUCUAGGAUCGACGUAAUGAUUAAUAGGGAUAGUUGGGGGCAUUAGUAUUCAAUUGUCAGAGGUGAAAUUCUUGGAUUUAUUGAAGACUAACUACUGCGAAAGCAUUUGCCAAGGAUGUUUUCAUUAAUCAAGAACGAAAGUUAGGGGAUCGAAGACGAUCAGAUACCGUCGUAGUCUUAACCAUAAACUAUGCCGACUAGGGAUCGGAUGAUGUUGAUUUUAUAAUGACUCAUUCGGCGCCUUACGGGAAAC
Molecule: ribosomal RNA, 548 nt
Filed under: uncultured Glomeromycotina
Lineage: Eukaryota; Fungi; Glomeromycota
Description: SSU rRNA
Rfam family: Eukaryotic small subunit ribosomal RNA
Source: RNAcentral